AACUGCUUACUGUUGAUGAAAUGCAAAACUGGAUGAGUUUUAGCAGCCAGAUUCCUGAUUCAAGUUGUGCCUAGAGGCUGCAGCUUUCUUUGUGCAGACUGGGGAUCACAGGAGUAUAGCUUUCUGUUGAGUGCUGCAUUAAUGCUACUCAAGUUCUACAGAAGUGACUCAACAUCCCACAGGCCUGCCAGGAUGACAAGUCACUUGCAGGAUUCAGUGCUGGCUUUGUUACAGAACAGCCGCUGACGACCUUCUCAAUCCCAUCCUGGACUUCAGGUCUCUAAUGUGAACUGCACCUUCCUCCCUGGUAGAUGAGCAGCGCUCUCUCUUGCUGAUGUUUGCUGGCAGGAAUUACUGGUUGCUCACAGCUCUACCAUCCAGUAUCUAUUUUUCUGAUGCCUAAAUAAUUAUAAAAGUCUGGCCCUACAUGUGAAUGGUUUACAGAAGAUAAACCACCAACUAGAAGGUUCCUACUCUAACUGAAGAACAGACUCAUGAAAGUUCUUGUCAGACAACACAAGGCAUCACAAAUAAAGCAGAGUUUUCAAUUAAAGCCAGUGGACUGAUUCAAGAAAUUACUGUUGAUGGGAAUGUUUAAUUUCAGCAAGAGAAUACCAUCUUGCCUUUGGGACUGAGAAGCAAAGUACAUCAUUGUUGUUUCCAGUUGGCCAAGAUUUACUUUAUUUCAGAUAGUGUGUUAGCAUUAAGCCCAGAUAUAUUUCCUACAAUUACAGGCUUUUUGGUAAGUGCAUAGGUUGUCACUUGAAUUGAUAGCUGUAUGGAAAAUAAAUAAACUCUAAACAUAGCUCAGAU
This is a long non-coding RNA of Gallus gallus (chicken), 813 nucleotides long. Lineage: Eukaryota; Metazoa; Chordata; Aves; Galliformes; Phasianidae. The record is from Ensembl.